UUCGCAGUGUAUAGAGCAUCGCGGACGGCCGUACAGCCAGUCAGUCAGCUGCCGGCAGUCAGCGUGUGCACAACACACAUGCUCUUCCUCGGUGUGGGUCACCGUGAACCGUACCAGCACAGUGCACAGUGUACCUUUGAUUGAAUUCGUGACCCGGCUGUGACACGUUAGUUGCACGUCGUUCGGUACGCACGCAGCGCGACCUUUAACGCUAAAUGACUUUACGGUUGCGCGAGUUGAUAUUAACAAUCCGUGUCAACCUUGCGAUGUUUGCCGGCCGUUCCCGGUGGUUCGCCUGUUCCGUGGUGCACGUUCAGCUGGCGAUACAUUGCACGAAACGUGUCCUGCCAAACCGCGUGUAGUGUGCCCUAACAUUCGCUCUGAUUCGUCCAUUCGUGAUCGGUUGCAAAAGUUGUGUCAAAUUGUUUUAUUCUACGUUCUGCUGAAGUAAUGCCAGGAGCGGGCGGAAUCUGAUGAAGAAGGGUGACGAGAUUUCUCAUUACAAAUCUCGAGUGUGCAAUAGUGGAGGCGAAAAAAAAAUCCCCAAAAGUACCCACCGGAGUAUCCGCGCGGUGUGUUGUAGUGAACGUGGGACAAAAGGAACGCAGUGCCGUAGAUGUAUAAGGGUUUUGCAAAAUUUUCAUCCCGUAAAGGCAGCUAUCCACUGCUAUGGAUGGAACUGUACCGGUGCGUUGCAUGCCCAACUGACCCCGCACGGUAGACAACGAACGAAAGUGUGAAGAUAGCCAACAAACAGCAGCGGCCACAACAAAAAGAAAUCAUUCUCCUGGUCAAUUCCAGCGGAAGCGUCCACAACAGUGCUGUAGUGCAACGAACGAACUCCGCAACUUUGCGGACUUCAUUUGAAGACGCGUGCAAAGUGAGAACCAAAAAAAAAACGUACAAUUUGGAGGGAGAGAAAGAGAUCAAGUCUGUAAUUAAAGCAUAGAGAAGAUAGUUAACCUGCAAGGUAGAGUCAAAAAAUAAAAAAAAAAUACAACGAACGACGAGUGCCCACGAUCCAACAGGGUAGUUAGUGGUCACUCUUUUCGCUACUACGAUGCAGCAUACGUGGGAACUCUAGUUAUGUCGCACCAAAUGGAUAAAGUGAUUCCGAGGAAUGUAUCACACACGCCGCACUUCUGGAAGUCUGUUAAUUGAAGGUGGUAGACAGUAUACGAUAUCGUCUAGACGAAAGCGCAACCAGAGCACUCCAGCACGGCGUUAAGCAGGAAGGACCUGCUUUACCAGGACGUGCACCACGAGAUUGCAUAGUGGCAAAAUUACAGAAAUCAUUCGACCCGAAAGUCUGUCAGCUCGGGCGCGGAACACCUAACUAUCCCGGCAACUGGACAGAGGUGCCGACCUGCGGCUAGCGAACAUUCGCACUGUGCUGCUCUGGAAGGACAGCCCCUCGGGAAGUGCAAAACGACCCUCACCCAAUAUUCCAGAGAUAUGGUCCGCCAUGGUGUCAACAAUCGGUGGCCCUUCUACUGUCGCUGCUGCUGCUGCUGCCGCUGUUGCCGGUGCUGCGGGUGCGGCAACCACCAUCAGCACCACUACUGAUGCGACACAACUGUUCAUCAACACAACGCUUGACUCAUGUGCCCUUAAAUAUGAAGAGUUCGUUAUACCGACUACAGUUCCUUACUGCAACUGGACCUGGGAUAGCAUACUGUGCUGGCCACCAACGCCAGCCAAUUUGACAAUAAGACAGCGAUGCCCUUCUGGACACGGAAUCGAUACCUCAAAGUUUGCCGAACGAAGAUGCAGUGCCGAGGGACAGUGGGAAGGGAGACCGGGCUCCCCGUCAAACCUACACGGAUGGACCAACUAUACGCCCUGCUACAGCCCGGAAGUUAUACAACUGUUUAGAAAGCUUUACGCCGGCGGUAACGACGAUGAAGCGAAUGAUAAGAUUGACAUUGCCGAGCGGACGCGUACGCUGGAGACGGUGGGAUUUAGUCUUUCACUAGUAGCGUUAAUCAUUUCGUUAGUAAUAUUUUGUAAAUUUCGCGGUCUUCGCAACAACCGGACGAGAAUACACAAAAAUCUGUUCGUUGCCAUGGUGAUACAGGUGGUGAUCCGCCUAACCUUAUACAUCGACCAAGCGAUCAUACGCAGCGGGGGCAAAAAGUUCGGCAACGAAAGCUCCCGCCAAGGAAUCGAUAACACGCCGUUCCUCUGCGAAGCGUCGUACGUGCUGAUGGAGUACGCCAGGACCUGCAUGUUUAUGUGGAUGUUUAUAGAGGGAUUAUAUUUACACAACGUAGUGACGGUGACAGUAUUUCAGGGAAGGUUUCCACAUACGCUUUACGCCAUCGUGGGCUGGGGUGGCCCGGUCGUACUGACCGUCAUCUGGGCCAUCACCACCGCGCACUACAUCCGGCAGCAGAAAUGCUGGUGGGGUUACAACUUGACGCCUUAUUACUGGAUUUUGGAAGGUCCAAGAUUAGCAGUAGUCGUGUUGAAUUUUAUAUUUUUACUAAACAUUAUACGUGUACUGAUCGUGAAGCUGCGCCAAAGCCACACGAGCGAUGUGGAGCAGGUACGGAAAGCGGUCCGUGCGGCGGUCGUCCUUGUGCCAUUGCUUGGAAUCACCAACAUACUCAACAUGACCCAAAACCCGCUUGAUAAGACGGCACUCGAGUUCGCCAUCUGGUCCUACGUGACGCAUUUUCUCGUCUCCUUCCAAGGGUUCUUCAUCGCGCUGCUGUACUGCUUCCUAAAUGGCGAGGUACGGACGGCCCUGAUGAAGAGUAUCAGCGUGUAUCUAUCACUGCGCGGGCACCAUGAUUGGGCGGUACGGAGGCAAUCGCUCUUUUCCGCCGGUUAUCCCACGGUACCGGUCAAUGAGGCACCGCACGCCGGAGACACAAAUCGCAACACCAAUAGAAAUGCCGCCAGCAACAACCUGCUGACAGGUGCCAACAAUCAUACCGCCAACGGUGGCAUGGCCAGCAGUACCGCGAACGGUUUCCGAUGCGGCUGGUUUAGUCGCUGCUUUCUAGUACAAAAACAUACCAACCCGUCCGCUCCGGAGCCGGCCCCACCCGAGUCAGUUGUGUUCGACAUUUCCGACUAGUGUGUCCUUUCCUUGUGUUUUUUUUUCUUCCUUUUUGCUGCGUUUGUUUGAUUUUCUGUUCUGUGGCCACUCCAUCCUUAACCAGCGUGUGAUGGCGGCUGUCGGAGCACGUGUGAAGUACACCGAUCCAUGAGACUAUAAGAAACUAGAACAAAACAAAACGAACAAAAAAAAGCUUUACCCGGUUGACUGUGCGUCACCGGAAACCGGAACUGCUAUCAGGGUAGCGCACCAAUUGAACGAUUGUACCAGCAAACGCAACACGAUGAACAACAAAUUAGGAAAAAAACGAAAGAAACAGCAAACAACAAACGCAUGAUUUUACAUACAGCGGGCGAUUGUUCUGUCGCCAAAACUUUGUUUGAAGCUUUUGCCACCGUUUGCAGAAAAAGUUAAAGGGAGCAUACGCGCAUCCGAUUGUAUUACCGUGCGUAAGAAUCGAAUUUACCGAGGGGCAGCGGUGUAUAGUAAACGAAAGGAAAUGUUACUUAGAUAGGUUUUGGGCACGUUGGGCAGGAAUGUAUCGAAUUAAGGGAAUGGUAAAAUGUUGCUCGCUCGUUUGAUAUACAACAAAAAAGAAAAAGAGAAAGAUAUAUAAAUACAUACAAAUAUAUGUAUACAUAUAUAUAUAUAUAUAUUUUAUCAGGGUGACGAAGAUUCUAGCCGAAGAAGCUAUUAAAUUAUGUCGAUUGUUUUUUUUCUGGUCGAUUUCGUAACUGUUGUAGCGUGUAAGGUGUAACGGGCAGCCGUAACGGAAGCUGUAUCGCGCAAUUAAUUGCAAACCCAAGAACCAGGACAGCUUCUACACUACAUCCACAUCACCGAUCAUUUGGACCGGGGAGCAGUUUAGAUUGAUUUAUGUGUAAAACAAAACUGGAAUGCUAAAUGAACGAAUAAAUGCAAUGUUGUCUG
This is an RNA transcript of Anopheles moucheti, 3997 nucleotides long. It is a transcript of the gene named PDF receptor, with no coding region annotated. Lineage: Eukaryota; Metazoa; Arthropoda; Insecta; Diptera; Culicidae. The transcript has 12 exons. The record is from RefSeq and is a predicted model, not a curated record.